RNAcentral lists this ribosomal RNA (406 nucleotides) under uncultured bacterium. Its description in RNAcentral is "partial 16S ribosomal RNA". It matches the Rfam family "Bacterial small subunit ribosomal RNA", at positions 30 to 526 of the family's 1533-position model. The record is from RNAcentral.
AUUGAACGCUGGCGGCAGGCCUAACACAUGCAAGUCGAGCGAGCGGCGGACGGGUGAGCAAUGUCUGGGAAACUGCCUGAUGGAGGGGGAUAACUACUGGAAACGGUAGCUAAUACCGCAUACCAUCAGAUGAUCCCAGAUGGGAGUAGCUAGUAGGUGGGGUAACGGCUCCCCUAGGCGACGAUCCCUAGCUGGUCUGAGAGGAUGACCAGCCACACUGGAACUGAGACACGGUCCAGACUCCUACGGGAGGCAGCAGUGGGGAAUAUUGCACAAUGGGCGCAAGCCUGAUACAGCCAUGCCGCGUGUGUGAAGAAGGCCUUCGGGUUGUAAAGCACUUUCAGCGGGGAGGCGUUACCCGCAGAAGAAGCACCGGCUAACUCCGUGCCAGCAGCCGCGGUAAUAC